GAUGAACGCUAGCGGGAGGCCUAACACAUGCAAGCCGAGCGGUAUUGUUUCUUCGGAAAUGAGAGAGCGGCGUACGGGUGCGUAACACGUGUGCAACCUGCCUUUAUCUGGGGGAUAGCCUUUCGAAAGGAAGAUUAAUACUCCAUAAUAUAUUGAACGGCAUCGUUUAAUAUUGAAAGCUCCGGCGGAUAGAGAUGGGCACGCGCAAGAUUAGCUAGUUGGUGAGGUAACGGCUCACCAAGGCGAUGAUCUUUAGGGGGCCUGAGAGGGUGAUCCCCCACACUGGUACUGAGACACGGACCAGACUCCUACGGGAGGCAGCAGUGAGGAAUAUUGGGCAAUGGGUGCAAGCCUGAACCAGCCAUCCCGCGUGAAGGACGACUGCCCUAUGGGUUGUAAACUUCUUUUGGAUAGGGAUAAACCUACCCUCGAGAGGGUAGCUGAAGGUACUAUACGAAUAAGCACCGGCUAACUCCGUG
This 479-nucleotide ribosomal RNA is filed under the name uncultured bacterium. RNAcentral describes it as "partial 16S ribosomal RNA". It matches the Rfam family "Bacterial small subunit ribosomal RNA", at positions 28 to 507 of the family's 1533-position model. The record is from RNAcentral.